This 372-nucleotide ribosomal RNA is filed under the name uncultured organism. Its description in RNAcentral is "partial 16S ribosomal RNA". It matches the Rfam family "Bacterial small subunit ribosomal RNA", at positions 527 to 896 of the family's 1533-position model. The record is from RNAcentral.
GGAGGGGGCUAGCGUUGUUCGGAUUUACUGGGCGUAAAGGGCGCGUAGGCGGUAUGCCAUGUCAGGGGUGAAAGGCCUGGGCUCAACCCAGGAACUGCCUUUGAAACUGGCAAACUAGAGUCCGAUAGGGGAUGGCGGAAUUCCCAGUGUAGAGGUGAAAUUCGUAGAUAUUGGGAAGAACACCAGUGGCGAAGGCGGCCAUCUGGAUCGGCACUGACGCUGAGGCGCGAAAGCGUGGGGAGCAAACAGGAUUAGAUACCCUGGUAGUCCACGCCGUAAACGAUGUGUGCUAGACGUUGGGGGCCCUUAGGCCCUGGGUGUCGCAGCUAACGCGUUAAGCACACCGCCUGGGGGAGUACGGCCGCAAGGUUA